CCGUAACGUCUGAAGAGUGCCUCGAUUUUGAUUUUGGUAGUGGUGGCUCUUUGUGAGUGCAUUGGUGACUCAAUCUACUGCUGCCGCUAACCAUCUGCAGCAACUCGAGGACCUUGGUAUGUUUGCUUCUUCCUUUAUCCAUGUGUUAAGGUCAUUUUUGUUCUUACAAUUUCGUCCACACCUUUCCCUCCAAUCUGUUUAAACAAGUGGCCUGGAGAUGAGCAUGAGCAAUGUUGUUCUACUUGAUUGAAAACUGAAAAGGCAUGCUUUUGUUGAUUCAGAAUUGGAAUAGUGUGUUGUGAGCACCAUAUUUACUUACGAGCUGCAAGUAUAUUUGUACAAUCUUCAUGCCAAUUACAAGGGAUGUACUCCCUGUUUUCAUGCAGGUUAGUAACCAUGGCUUACAGAAUGUCGGUGUUCCUUAUAUUCUAUUUGCAAAACCUCAUAUAUUGGAGGUUCCUAUAAUCGAUUCGAAAAACAUGCUACAUGAACACAUAACACUAGCUAUAGGUAGUAGCUGCCAAUUUGUGUCUUGUCUUGUGCGACUGACUGAUGUUUGUUCUAAAAUGACUGAUCAUCAUUGCCGAGGAAUUACUAAGUAUUAAUAUAUUACUAUUAAUAUGUUUAGUAGUUACAAAAACUUUUUAGCUGACUACCGUCGAGGCAGAACAAAUAUGUAUCCCCGCUGUUGCAUAGCUACUUCUCUAGUAGUGAAUUUCCUUUGCAUUCUAAAAAUGCGAUACUUUGGAAUCUGUGUUUUAUUUGUAGCAAACCCUUUAUAGAGGAUAAUGCAAUGUUACUUUAUCAUGGUUAUAUAGUUGUUCCAGAACUGACUAUUCGCUACUAUUCAGAUUCAGGACCAUCUUGCACGCUCCAACAAUAUUUUUGCCUUUGAUUAGCGUGGAAUGUCAAGAAUCACCCCCCUUCGCAGCUUCACCAGGCUUCAACCGAUUAGUUGGAGGCAUGAACUAGGUCAUCAAAGAAUCAGGAGCCCAUGCUGAUGAAAUAUGACUGGGUAAUCUUCAGAGGAGUCAUCUUCAUGUCCCCCAAGAUGAGAGCUGAUGAAACUGAUAAUUUCACCUCUCGUGCUAGUCCCGAUCUGGUCAUGUCUAGCUUUGUAUUUUUGGCACCAUGUAAUCAACAAGAAUGUACAUUUUUUUUAAAAGUAUGCGAGCUUUUUGUAGUUUAUAUGGGUGCUUGUCAUACAAUUUAUGUGGAUGCUUGUGUUGUUCCGAUGUGAAAGACGUGAUGUUCUUGCAUGGCAGAAUCUAUAGAAAAUGUGUUCAGAG
This 1289-nucleotide long non-coding RNA is filed under the name Triticum aestivum (bread wheat). RNAcentral's name for it is "long non-coding RNA (TAES_LNC002805)". The record is from RNAcentral. Lineage: Eukaryota; Viridiplantae; Streptophyta; Magnoliopsida; Poales; Poaceae.